UACGGGGGGGGCAAGCGUUGUUCGGAAUUACUGGGCGUAAAGGGCUCGUAGGCGGCCAAUUAAGUCCGACGUGAAAUCCCCAGGCUUAACCUGGGAACUGCGUCGGAUACUGGAUGGCUUGAAUUCGGGAGAGGGAUGCAGAAUUCCAGGUGUAGCGGUGAAAUGCGUAGAUAUCUGGAGGAACACCGGUGGCGAAGGCGGCAUUCUGGACCAUAACUGACACUGAGAGACGAAAGCCAGGGGAGCAAACGGG
This 253-nucleotide ribosomal RNA is filed under the name uncultured bacterium. RNAcentral's name for it is "partial 16S ribosomal RNA". It matches the Rfam family "Bacterial small subunit ribosomal RNA", at positions 524 to 776 of the family's 1533-position model. The record is from RNAcentral.